RNAcentral lists this ribosomal RNA (158 nucleotides) under Phaeophyscia denigrata. Its description in RNAcentral is "5.8S ribosomal RNA". It matches the Rfam family "5.8S ribosomal RNA". Rfam says of the family: 5.8S ribosomal RNA (5.8S rRNA) is a component of the large subunit of the eukaryotic ribosome. It is transcribed by RNA polymerase I as part of the 45S precursor that also contains 18S and 28S rRNA. Functionally, it is thought that 5.8S rRNA may be involved in ribosome translocation. RNAcentral also lists the same sequence under 1 other name. The record is from RNAcentral. Lineage: Eukaryota; Fungi; Ascomycota; Lecanoromycetes; Caliciales; Physciaceae.
AAAACUUUCAACAACGGAUCUCUUGGUUCCCGCAUCGAUGAAGAACGCAGCGAAAUGCGAAAACUAAUGUGAAUUGCAGAAUUCCGUGAAUCAUCGAGUCUUUGAACGCACAUUGCGCCCUUUGGUAUUCCGAAGGGCAUGCCUGUUCGAGCGUCAUU